GUUAGAGAGGGGCUGGGUGCAGCAGGGGCUGUGGCUGACCCUCAUUUCCUGGCAGGGUCCCUGGCUCAGUAUGACAGACACUGGUUGGAAGUGCAGGAAACUGUGACUCUGCAGGAGGGCAUGUGCGUCUCUGUGCCCUGCACCUUCUCCUAUCCCUGGUACUAUUGGACUGACUCUGCCCCAGCUCAUGGCUACUGGUUCCAGAGGGGCCAAAUCCAUGCCAGGAUGCCCGAGCGGCCACAAACGACCCAGUUCGUAAAGUGUGGGAGGAGACCCAGGGCCGAUUCCACCUGCUCAGGGACCCCAGGACUACAACGGCUCCCUGGACAUCAGAGAUGCCACAAGGAGUGACAACAGAAGAUACUUUUUUGGGUGGAGAGAAAUUACAAAUCUAGCCACCUCUCUGCGCAUGCGACAGCCUCAGAAGAGUGACCUGUGACAAAGACUCUGGUGUCUCCCAUCAGAGUGAAGACCUGCAGGAAGAAAGCAGCCAGGAAAGCAGUUGACAGGAAUGACAUUAAUCCUGCAAUCUGGCCAGCUUUGUUGCUGGAGUCCAAGUGAGACAGUCCCACUGACCCCACGAGCUCUGGAGGGACAGCCCCCACCUUGGAGAUGGAGCAGGAGCUGCAUUAUGCUUUCCUUAGCUUUCACUGGAUGAAUACUCAAGAUAGCACCUACAGGACACUGUGAAGGACGCAUGGGAUCAUCAGUCUCAGAUGGAGACUCCAUAUCCUCUACAGGAAAAGGGGCUCAAAGACUGAUUCUUGGAGACUUCAUAUCCCCAUAGACAAUGGUUUUAUAAACUAUUGUAUGUGAG
This 817-nucleotide long non-coding RNA is filed under the name Equus asinus (donkey). RNAcentral describes it as "lncRNA (ENSEASG00005034555.1)". Lineage: Eukaryota; Metazoa; Chordata; Mammalia; Perissodactyla; Equidae. The record is from RNAcentral.